Molecule: ribosomal RNA, 300 nt
Filed under: uncultured bacterium
Lineage: Bacteria
Description: bacterial SSU rRNA
Rfam family: Bacterial small subunit ribosomal RNA
Source: RNAcentral
GCCAGCAGCCGCGGUAAUACGGAGGGUGCGAGCGUUAAUCGGAAUUACUGGGCGUAAAGCGCAUGCAGGCGGCCUGUUAAGUCAGAUGUGUAAAGACCCGGGGCGUUAACCUACGGAAUUGCAUUUGUAAACUAGGCAGGCUAGAGUCUUGUAGAGGGGGGUAGGGAAGUUUCUAGGUGUAGCGGUGAAAUAGCGUAGAGAUCUGAAGGAAUACCAGUGGCGAAGGCGGCCCCCUCGGACAAAGACUGACGCUCAGAUGCGAAAGCGUGGGGAGCAAACAGGAUUAGAUACCCCUGGUAG